RNAcentral lists this ribosomal RNA (334 nucleotides) under Paenibacillus pinisoli. RNAcentral's name for it is "bacterial SSU rRNA". It matches the Rfam family "Bacterial small subunit ribosomal RNA", at positions 1 to 319 of the family's 1533-position model. The record is from RNAcentral. Lineage: Bacteria; Bacillati; Bacillota; Bacilli; Caryophanales; Paenibacillaceae.
CUUUUAUGGAGAGUUUGAUCCUGGCUCAGGACGAACGCUGGCGGCGUGCCUAAUACAUGCAAGUCGAGCGGACUUGAUGGAGUGCUUGCACUCCUGAUAGUUAGCGGCGGACGGGUGAGUAACACGUAGGUAACCUGCCUGUAAGACUGGGAUAACAUUCGGAAACGAAUGCUAAUACCGGAUACGCGAAUUGGUCGCAUGGCCGAUUCGGGAAAGACGGAGCAAUCUGUCACUUACAGAUGGACCUGCGGCGCAUUAGCUAGUUGGUGAGGUAACGGCUCACCAAGGCGACGAUGCGUAGCCGACCUGAGAGGGUGAUCGGCCACACUGGGAC